Molecule: ribosomal RNA, 404 nt
Filed under: uncultured bacterium
Lineage: Bacteria
Description: bacterial SSU rRNA
Rfam family: Bacterial small subunit ribosomal RNA
Source: RNAcentral
UGGGGAAUAUUGCGCAAUGGGGGCAACCCUGACGCAGCAACGCCGCGUGAAGGAAGAAGGUCUUCGGAUUGUAAACUUUUGUCUUUGGUGAAGAUAGUGACGGUAGCCAAGGAGGAAGCCACGGCUAACUACGUGCCAGCAGCCGCGGUAAUACGUAGGUGGCAAGCGUUGUCCGGAUUUACUGGGUGUAAAGGGCGUGUAGACGGGUCUGCAAGUCAGAUGUGAAAUACCGCAGCUUAACUGCGGGGCUGCAUUUGAAACUGUGGGUCUUGAGUGCGGGAGAGGAAAGCGGAAUUCCUAGUGUAGCGGUGAAAUGCGUAGAUAUUAGGAGGAACACCAGUGGCGAAGGCGGCUUUCUGGACCGUAACUGACGUUGAGGCGCGAAAGCGUGGGUAGCAAACAGG